RNAcentral lists this ribosomal RNA (288 nucleotides) under uncultured bacterium. Its description in RNAcentral is "partial 16S ribosomal RNA". It matches the Rfam family "Bacterial small subunit ribosomal RNA", at positions 333 to 635 of the family's 1533-position model. The record is from RNAcentral.
GGCAUCCUACGGGGCGCAGCAGUGGGGAAUAUUGCACAAUGGGGGGAACCCUGAUGCAGCGACGCCGCGUGAGUGAAGAAGUAUUUUGGUAUGUAAAGCUCUAUCAGCAGGGAAGAAAGAAAUGACGGUACCUGACUAAGAAGCCCCGGCUAACUACGUGCCAGCAGCCGCGGUAAUACGUAGGGGGCAAGCGUUAUCCGGAUUUACUGGGUGUAAAGGGAGCGUAGACGGUUACGCAAGUCUGGAGUGAAAGGCGGGGGCCCAACCCCCGGACUGCUUUGGAAACUG